RNAcentral lists this ribosomal RNA (406 nucleotides) under uncultured Geobacillus sp. Its description in RNAcentral is "bacterial SSU rRNA". It matches the Rfam family "Bacterial small subunit ribosomal RNA", at positions 979 to 1382 of the family's 1533-position model. The record is from RNAcentral. Lineage: Bacteria; Bacillati; Bacillota; Bacilli; Caryophanales; Anoxybacillaceae.
CUUCGACACUCCCUGACAACCCAAGGAGAGUUGGGCCGUUCCCCUUCGGGGGACAGGGUGACAGGUGGUGCAUGGUUGUCGUCAGCUCGUGUCGUGAGAUGUUGGGUUAAGUCCCGCAACGAGCGCAACCCUCGCCUCUAGUUGCCAGCAUUCGGUUGGGCACUCUAGAGGGACUGCCGGCGACAAGUCGGAGGAAGGUGGGGAUGACGUCAAAUCAUCAUGCCCCUUAUGACCUGGGCUACACACGUGCUACAAUGGGCGGUACAACGGGAAGCAAUACCGCGAGGUGGAGCAAAUCCUGAAAGCCGGCCUCAGUUCAGAUUGCAGUCUGCAACUCGACUGCAUGAAGUCGGAAUCGCUAGUAAUCGCGGAUCAGCAUGCCGCGGUGAAUACGUUCCCGGGCCUU